This 459-nucleotide ribosomal RNA is filed under the name uncultured bacterium. RNAcentral describes it as "bacterial SSU rRNA". It matches the Rfam family "Bacterial small subunit ribosomal RNA", at positions 340 to 786 of the family's 1533-position model. The record is from RNAcentral.
UACGGAAGGCAGCAGUGGGGAAUAUUGCACAAUGGGCGAAAGCCUGAUGCAGCUAUGCCGCGUGUAUGAAGAAGGCCUUAGGGUUGUAAAGUACUUUCAUCGGGGAGGAAAAACAAAACUAAUAAUUUUAUUUCUUGACGUUACCCGAAAAAGAAGCACCGGCUAACUCCGUGCCAGCAGCCGCGGUAAUACGGAGGGUGCUAGCGUUAAUCAGAAUUACUGGGCGUAAAGAGCACGUAGGUGGUUUUUUUAAGUCAGAUGUGAAAUCCCUGGGCUUAACCUAGGAACUGCAUUUUGAAACUGAAAAUACUAGAAGUAUCGUAGAGGGAGGUAGAAUUCUAGGUGUAGCGGUGAAAUGCGUAGAUAUCUGGAGGAAUACCUGUGGCGAAAGCGGCCUCCUAAACGAAUACUGACACUGAGGUGCGAAAAGCGUGGGGAGCAAAACAGGGAUUAGAUACC